GUCCCCCCUCUCCCCACAGGGGCACGCAGAGAUGUUCCAGCAGCCGCCCACUUCUGAGAGCGGCGUGGGGCUAUGGCUGGCAAGCAGGCAGCCUGCCUGAGCCCUGCUGCCCCACUGGCAGGGAGCCACCUGUGGAAGAAGACUUGUAUAUAUGGGCCCCACAAAAUCUAAUAGCCCUGGGCCCACAGGAGAGUUAAUCCAGCCCUGCUCUGGCAGGCAUUCAACUGAGGAACAGAGCACAGGGGAAAUGUAAGAGGACUGACAAUUUAAGAGCAAGGAGGGCAAAGAUAGCUAAAAUGGGGAACAGGAGGUGGUCACCUGUGCCAGUCACGGUCAGAUGUGAGACUAGAUCUGAGGAAUCAUGCUUUCCAGGCCCCUGCUCAAACUACUGAACACUCUCCUAUGUGAUGUAAUAGGACAACAUUUCCGUAUGGGAUAAAUGCAGCAUUUCUUUCCCUUUCAGCCUACUGUACAGCUCACCAUGUGUUUUUUUUUUUUUUUUUUUUAUUAACACAUCCAUUCCAUCUUGUCAGCAAAUAAAACUUUGUGGAUGUUCCAUGUGAGAACUUGUAUGUGAUCAGAAGUCUGCUUUCCCAUGCCUCCUCAUGCAUUUCCUAUGUAAAUAGCUCAGAUGGCUCACAAGUGGCUUAUUAAAUCCAGUAGUAAAACUUUGGCAAAGGGAGAGCACUUUGUUACCAAAAAAAUGUUUUCCCAUCAUCUCCAUUUGACACAACCUCUGAAGCAAAUGCUCAAAUGCAAUACUCCCCCUCUCCACCAACUACACUGUCAGUACUUUAAAAUGAGACAUCACCUACAAUAAAACAAAAUGGGGCAAAUUUCAUUCCAGCCAAGACUUCUCCUUCUUUGGCUCAAUGUGUAUUCAGUUCAUUUUAGAGCUAAAGGCUUGAGGAGGCUCAUGGAAAGGGGUUCUAGUUAAUCUGCAGGAUUUGUAUCUAGUGUGUGUACUGUGUCCUUGAUACAGGACUCUUUCCUUGGGCAAAACUCCUCUUGAUCUGAGUAAGAAAAGUGCACAAAUUGAGAUUGGACCCAAUCACAAUGUCUUCUCUGACCAGCUUAAACUUCUGUAGUAGAACUGAACUGACACAACCUUUGGCUUUCAUAGGUUCCUGCUACUUUGUGCUAUGGAAACUGGAAUAGAAGGAAAGGAAAUAAGGUUAGAAUAUAGAUUAAACAAAACCCCAUAAACCAAAAUCCCUGCCAAUUUGAGAGAGUUUAAGCUUAGACACAGACAAAACUUAAGAUUCUCUCAAGAAAGAGAUGGAUCUGGACCAGAACCCUAAGACAAGCAUACGUGAAUGUGUAGAUGGUAGGUUCGGAAUUUGACUCCAGAGUGAAAAUGGUGGAUGGCCCCUCCAUCAGCAAUGUCCAAUCCAAACAGUUUUGAACUUUGGGAGUAUUUGAGAUGUGGAUCCAGAAGUGAAUUCUUCCAGCAUGAGGCCAUCUCUGGGUUAUAUAUAUUUUUUUGGAUCAUUUAAUCCAAUUCAAUUUCCCCCCAACCUUCUAGAUAUGAAACAGGAGGAAAAAUAGAAUACAAGCUCUUGCUUGCUUUCUCUUCUUGUGGGACUGAACUUGCCAGAUGUGUUAGUGGAGACUGAGCAGUAUCUCCCAGGUCAACUCUGUAGACUGCAGGAUUGGGCCUAUCCACUAAUAUGCCAGUUAUAUCUAGGACUUUGAAAGUGCAAGCUUAUA
Long non-coding RNA from Chelonia mydas (Green sea turtle), 1710 nucleotides. RefSeq lists it as uncharacterized. The record is from RefSeq and is a predicted model, not a curated record. NCBI's taxonomy places the organism in Eukaryota, Metazoa, Chordata, Testudines, Cheloniidae. The transcript is spliced from 3 exons.